UACGUAGGGUGCGAGCGUUGUCCGGAAUUACUGGGCGUAAAGAGCUCGUAGGUGGUUUGUCGCGUUGUUCGUGAAAACCGGGGGCUUAACCCUCGGCGUGCGGGCGAUACGGGCAGACUUGAGUACUGCAGGGGAGACUGGAAUUCCUGGUGUAGCGGUGGAAUGCGCAGAUAUCAGGAGGAACACCGGUGGCGAAGGCGGGAUCUGGGCCAGUACUGACGCUGAGGAGCGAAAGCGUGGGGAGCAAACAGG
RNAcentral lists this ribosomal RNA (252 nucleotides) under uncultured bacterium. RNAcentral describes it as "partial 16S ribosomal RNA". It matches the Rfam family "Bacterial small subunit ribosomal RNA", at positions 524 to 776 of the family's 1533-position model. The record is from RNAcentral.